RNAcentral lists this transfer RNA (85 nucleotides) under Trichonephila inaurata madagascariensis. RNAcentral describes it as "tRNA-Arg". It matches the Rfam family "tRNA". From Rfam's summary of the family: Transfer RNA (tRNA) molecules are approximately 80 nucleotides in length. Their secondary structure includes four short double-helical elements and three loops (D, anti-codon, and T loops). The record is from RNAcentral. Lineage: Eukaryota; Metazoa; Arthropoda; Arachnida; Araneae; Nephilidae.
UUCAGGAUGGCCGAGUGGUUAUGGCAUCGGACUUCUGAUCCGAGUGACGGUUAUGUCGGCAGGUUCGAUUCCUGCUCCUGAGCAG